Drosophila melanogaster (fruit fly) is the source of this 329-nucleotide non-coding RNA. The record is from Ensembl. NCBI's taxonomy places the organism in Eukaryota, Metazoa, Arthropoda, Insecta, Diptera, Drosophilidae.
AUAUGCAAUUCCUGCAGUGCUGGACCCACAGAAACCCAGCAGGAACAUCAAGAAUAGCGAGGGCAAGGACAUCCCUGGCAAAAGGGGAAAGUGUGGGUGAUGUGGGCCCAACCACUUUCGUCACUCUUCGACGCAUCCCGAAAUGAACGGGGAUUCCCCCUCAUAAUGAAACCAGCUAAUAUAUCUUGUUGACGUCGCCAGCAGUGGCAACAAAAAAGGAGGAAACGACAUCGGAGGACCAGAGCCCCAAAACCCAAAGCCGAAGCAAAAGCAGCACAGACAUGUCUAUUUUGGACCAUAUCGAUUUUGUCGGGACCCUGACUCUCGGC